RNAcentral lists this ribosomal RNA (510 nucleotides) under uncultured bacterium. RNAcentral's name for it is "partial 16S ribosomal RNA". It matches the Rfam family "Bacterial small subunit ribosomal RNA", at positions 28 to 507 of the family's 1533-position model. The record is from RNAcentral.
GACGAACGCUGGCGGCGUGCUUAACACAUGCAAGUCGAACGAAGAGCGAUGGAAGCUUGCUUCUAUCAAUCUUAGUGGCGAACGGGUGAGUAACGCGUAAUCAACCUGCCCUUCAGAGGGGGACAACAGUUGGAAACGACUGCUAAUACCGCAUACGAUCUAAUCUCGGCAUCGAGGAUAGAUGAAAGGUGGCCUCUACAUGUAAGCUAUCACUGAAGGAGGGGAUUGCGUCUGAUUAGCUAGUUGAAGGGGUAACGGCCCACCAAGGCGAUGAUCAGUAGCCGGUCUGAGAGGAUGAACGGCCACAUUGGGACUGAGACACGGCCCAGACUCCUACGGGAGGCAGCAGUGGGGAAUCUUCCGCAAUGGACGAAAGUCUGACGGAGCAACGCCGCGUGAGUGAUGACGGCCUUCGGGUUGUAAAGCUCUGUUAAUCGGGACGAAAGGCCUUCUUGCGAAUAGUGAGAAGGAUUGACGGUACCGGAAUAGAAAGCCACGGCUAACUACGUG